GACGAACGCUGGCGGCGUGCUUAACACAUGCAAGUCGAACGGAAAGGCCCUGCUUUUGUGGGGUGCUCGAGUGGCGAACGGGUGAGUAACACGUGAGUAACCUGCCCUUGACUUUGGGAUAACUUCAGGAAACUGGGGCUAAUACCGGAUAGGAGCUCCUGCUGCAUGGUGGGGGUUGGAAAGUUUCGGCGGUUGGGGAUGGACUCGCGGCUUAUCGGCUUGUUGGUGGGGUAGUGGCUGACCAAGGCUUUGACGGGUAGCCGGCCUGAGAGGGUGAACGGCCACAUUGGGCCUGCGAUACGGCCCAGACGCCUACGGGAGGCAGCAGUGGGGAAUAUGGCACAAUGGGCGGACGCCUGUUGCAGCAACGCCGCGUGCGUGAUGACGGCCUUCGGGUUGUAAACCGCUUUCGCCUGUGACGAAGCGGGAGUGACGGUAAUGGGUAAAGAAGCACCGGCUAACUACGUG
Molecule: ribosomal RNA, 468 nt
Filed under: uncultured bacterium
Lineage: Bacteria
Description: partial 16S ribosomal RNA
Rfam family: Bacterial small subunit ribosomal RNA
Source: RNAcentral